This 85-nucleotide transfer RNA is filed under the name Felis catus (domestic cat). It matches the Rfam family "tRNA". Rfam says of the family: Transfer RNA (tRNA) molecules are approximately 80 nucleotides in length. The record is from Rfam by way of RNAcentral. RNAcentral also lists the same sequence under 6 other names. Lineage: Eukaryota; Metazoa; Chordata; Mammalia; Carnivora; Felidae.
GCCUGGGUGGCUCAGUCGGUUGAGCGUCCGACUUCAGCUCGGGUCACGAUCUCGCGGUCCGUGAGUUCGAGCCCCGCGUCGGGCU